GCGCUGGUGGUUCAGCGGUAGAAUUCUCGCCUGCCACGCGGGACGUCCGGGCUCGAUUCCCGGCCGAUGCA
This 71-nucleotide transfer RNA is filed under the name Ornithorhynchus anatinus (platypus). RNAcentral's name for it is "tRNA-Gly (GCC) (tRNA-Gly-GCC-18-1)". It matches the Rfam family "tRNA". Rfam says of the family: Transfer RNA (tRNA) molecules are approximately 80 nucleotides in length. Their secondary structure includes four short double-helical elements and three loops (D, anti-codon, and T loops). Further hydrogen bonds mediate the characteristic L-shaped molecular structure. tRNAs have two regions of fundamental functional importance: the anti-codon, which is responsible for specific mRNA codon recognition, and the 3' end, to which the tRNAs corresponding amino acid is attached (by aminoacyl-tRNA synthetases). tRNAs cope with the degeneracy of the genetic code in two manners: having more than one tRNA (with a specific anti-codon) for a particular amino acid; and 'wobble' base-pairing, i.e. permitting non-standard base-pairing at the 3rd anti-codon position. Lineage: Eukaryota; Metazoa; Chordata; Mammalia; Monotremata; Ornithorhynchidae. The record is from Rfam by way of RNAcentral.